RNAcentral lists this ribosomal RNA (435 nucleotides) under uncultured bacterium. RNAcentral describes it as "bacterial SSU rRNA". It matches the Rfam family "Bacterial small subunit ribosomal RNA", at positions 956 to 1392 of the family's 1533-position model. The record is from RNAcentral.
UGAACGCGAAGAACCUUACCAGGUCUUGACAUCCAGUGCAAACCUAAGAGAUUAGGUGUUCCCUUCGGGGACGCUGAGACAGGUGGUGCAUGGCUGUCGUCAGCUCGUGUCGUGAGAUGUUGGGUUAAGUCCCGCAACGAGCGCAACCCUUGUCAUUAGUUGCCAUCAUUAAGUUGGGCACUCUAAUGAGACUGCCGGUGACAAACCGGAGGAAGGUGGGGAUGACGUCAAGUCAUCAUGCCCCUUAUGACCUGGGCUACACACGUGCUACAAUGGACGGUACAACGAGAAGCGAACCUGCGAAGGCAAGCGGAUCUCUUAAAGCCGUUCUCAGUUCGGACUGUAGGCUGCAACUCGCCUACAUGAAGUCGGAAUCGCUAGUAAUCGCGGAUCAGCACGCCGCGGUGAAUACGUUCCCGGGUCUUGUACACACCG